Pantherophis guttatus is the source of this 867-nucleotide long non-coding RNA. RefSeq lists it as uncharacterized. The record is from RefSeq and is a predicted model, not a curated record. NCBI's taxonomy places the organism in Eukaryota, Metazoa, Chordata, Lepidosauria, Squamata, Colubridae.
AUCUGUAUCCAGAAAGCAAUCAUUUCAAGAAUGGAACUUCUUGAGAUCUUUAUAAAACUCCAACGGGCCCUUCUUUUACUACUCUGAACAUGGACUAUUGGCUUCUCUUCCAAAAUGCACUCCAUGGGAUUUAAGGAAAUUGAAAUAACCACGACAAGGACAUCAGCUGUUCUUUGAUCUCCUGUCCUGUUCUAAUAGGAAAUUAGAGGUCUAGGAUUUUCUCUCUUUAAAAUCUCUGUGACUUUUUUUGCUAUGAAAUGACCCCAGGUUUUUGUAUAGCUGUGCAUCACUGUGGUAUAUCUUCGGAGAAGGAACCCAGCUAAUUGUCACAGGUCAGGAUCCAGUAUCUCCUUCAGUCCAAGUCUUUGCUCCUUCUGAGCAAGAGAUCAAAACCCAGAAGAAGGCCACUCUGGUAUGUCUCCUAAGUGGCUUUCACCCACCCGCUUUCACCCUGAAAUGGAAGGUUGAUGGUACAGAGACCACCUCUGGAGUGGAGACAACCAAAGCCACCAAGCAGGGUGACAAAUACCUUGCCAGCAGUUACCUGACCAGGAGUGAUUCCGACUAUGGAGACCAUACGUACGUCUGUGAAGUGACACAUAAUGGAAAUACCUUUACAAAGGCUCUUACGGGAUCUGGAAGUUGUUAACUCCGUCAUGAGCCUUCUCCUGACCACAGACAGGAGGAAAGAGUCCCUUUUCUCAUUCAUUCUUUCCUAAGUUGAGCUUGAUCACUAAUGUCUCUUCCUACAACAAAGUAGUUACACUCUUUGUAUUCCCUCCAUGCUUUCGUUCUUCGAAUUGAUGCCCCCCGCUUUGAUCUGUUAGAUUCUACUGUCAGCAAAUUAAUAAAGAUGGAUCUAUUUCA